Leptonychotes weddellii (Weddell seal) is the source of this 1793-nucleotide non-coding RNA. NCBI's taxonomy places the organism in Eukaryota, Metazoa, Chordata, Mammalia, Carnivora, Phocidae. The record is from RefSeq and is a predicted model, not a curated record.
CACUUUGAUGGUGGUACUUUCGGAGCCAGUUACUCCUCACAGCCCCUGGAUGAGAGUUGGCCAAGGCAGCAACAUCCUUGGAAAGAAGAAAAGCACCCUGGAUUCAGGCUGACAUCUGCUCUUAACAGGACCAAUUCUGAUUCCGCUCUUCACACGAGUGCUCUGAGCGCCAAGCCCCAGGACCCCUAUGGAGGAGGGGGCCAGUCGGCCUGGCCUGCCCCAUACAUGGGUAAGACACACAGGCCCCCUGCUCACAGCGUCUGUGCUUUCUCAUUCUGUUUGGAAUGACUCGAGCUCCAGGAUUUGGCCCUCAGUCACCUCUGUCGGCCCCGUGAACCACUCUUGAUGUGUCUUCCUUUCCCUGUUUCUUCCUCUCUGAUCUACCCCAGCCUACCUGACCAACACCCUUGGCUUUGUGGUCAUUUCUGUGGGGCCGUCCUUGACCUUCCUCCCUUUGCCAGUCCAGAGCUACCCGUGUCCUCGUCACAUGCCAGAGUUCCUCCGGGCUCAGGCCUACCUUGGCAGCUGUGCCACUCGACUGCCUUCUCUCCCCCUGCUCAGUGGGGAUUUCUUGAAAAGUCAGCAUCUUAAUGGCCUCACCGCCAGCACGGUGCCCGGCACAGAGGAACCCUCAGUGAUGGGGAAAUUACCCAGUGGCUUGCAGGCACAGAGCCCCUGCUAGAACACGUGCUAGGUGCUGACAUCUCACCUGCCAGGAACCGAACCUGGCUCGCUAAGACGCACUCCACGCCUGCCUUUCCUUCUGGGGUGAUAAUCUAGUAGGAACAAUGGUCUUGAAUUACCCGUUUCAUAGGCAGAUUGACUCUUGUCCACAAACACUUAGGGCUAGGUGUUUGGUCUUAAACCGGGAAUAAAUAAAUCUCGGUCAAGAUAAUCCAGCCUUUCUGGUUUUCUUUAUUUUUCAGACCAUUUGAACCUGAAAUAGUCUCUGUCCGGAGAACGUUCAGGGUCUUAUUCCUUGCACAUAGUAGGGGUGGGAUUUAGUAAUAACUGUUGCUGUAUCUGUUCCCUUGGUGUAAUUCAUAGAUGACCGCCUUUGCCUAAAAAUUCCCUUACGUUUCAAGUGUGAGAUCUACGCGAGAGUCGGUCUGGGCCAUCUAGCCAUGUUUCCCCCCAUGGGAAUGGGAGCGUCAAGCUGGCAGAAUGUGGGAAUGGGACAGGGAGCCUGCUGCUCACCGCUUAGAGGAGCGGGGUCUAUGGGGAGAGGCUCUAGUUUAGCUCCAGGAGAGGCAGAUACGGGAGCAUAUAAACAAAGGCCAGAAAGGCAGAGACUGUGAUCACUGGGGGUGCCAGUAAGUACAGCGACAUCCUGGUCUCCCUGGACUGGGAGGGAACCAGAUGGAUGGGUUUUGACCCUGGAGCCCCGGAUACAGAGCUGCCUCUCUGCCUCUUCCAUUCCUUCGUUUCUCUUGUCCUCUCUGCAAAGUUUAUGCUUCUGCAGAAAGAGCCAGAAGCCUGGAGAGCAGAAGGCAACCAUAGGUGAUUUAGAUAAAGAGCCUUUCGGGCCUGCACGCAGAGAGAAAAAGCGCAGAAAGGGAUUAACUGGGUGCGGUAUUUAUGCGAGGAGCCCUGUAGCCUUUGAGGGGAGAGGUGAGAGAUGUCGGAAGGGGUGCGUGAGGAGGAAUCAGGCAGAACUACGUUAGCGUUGCUCCUGGCAGACGGAGCAAGAAAGAAAUCCGGGAGCCAAAUUCCUGGGUUGACUUGAGAAUCGAGGUGGUCACUCCUUGUCAAGUCAGCGGCUGGAGGUCGUGGGUCCGCAGCGUCUGACGCGC